GAUGAACGCUGGCGGCGUGCUUAACACAUGCAAGUCGAACGGAAAGGCUCCUGCUUGCAGGGGUACUCGAGUGGCGAACGGGUGAGUAACACGUGGGUGAUCUGCCCUGCACUUCGGGAUAAGCCUGGGAAACUGGGUCUAAUACCGGAUAGGACCACAUUUUGGAUGGUGUGGUGGAAAGUUUUUCGGUGUGGGAUGAGCUCGCGGCCUAUCAGCUUGUUGGUGGGGUAAUGGCCUACCAAGGCGUCGACGGGUAGCCGGCCUGAGAGGGUGUACGGCCACAUUGGGACUGAGAUACGGCCCAGACUCCUACGGGAGGCAGCAGUGGGGAAUACUGCACAAUGGGCGCAAGCCUGAUGCAGCGACGCCGCGUGGGGGAGGACGGCCUUCGGGUUGUAAACUCCUUUCGCUAGGGACGAAGCGUUUUUGUGACGGUACCUGGAGAAGAAGCACCGGCUAACUACGU
RNAcentral lists this ribosomal RNA (466 nucleotides) under uncultured bacterium. Its description in RNAcentral is "partial 16S ribosomal RNA". It matches the Rfam family "Bacterial small subunit ribosomal RNA", at positions 28 to 506 of the family's 1533-position model. The record is from RNAcentral.